Molecule: RNA transcript, 3516 nt
Organism: Salvelinus fontinalis (brook trout)
Lineage: Eukaryota; Metazoa; Chordata; Actinopteri; Salmoniformes; Salmonidae
Gene name: probable tRNA(His) guanylyltransferase
Exons: 2
Source: RefSeq, a predicted model, not a curated record
CUUCGCCCCCACUCUACCUUCGCCCCCACUCUACCUUCCUUCCUCCACUCUACCUUCCUUCCUCCACUCCUCCACCCUGCUCUAUGCUUCCACCCUGCUCUAUCCUUAUACCCUCCUCUACCUUUCUCCACCUGCUCUAUCCUUCCACCCUCCUCUACCUUUCUCCACCCUCCUGUACCUUCGCCCCUCCUCUACCUUCAUCCACCCUCCUCUACCUUCAUCCACCCUCCUCUACCUUCAUCCACCCUUCUCUACCCUUCCACCCUCCUCUACCCUUCCCCCCUCCUCUUCCACCCUCCUCUACCUUCCAUCCUCCACUCUUCCACCCUCCUCUACCUUCCAUCCUCCACUCUUCCACCCUCCUCUACCUUCCAUCCUCCACUCUUCCACCCUCCUCUACCUUCCAUCCUCCACUCUUCCCCCCUCCUCUACCUUCCAUCCUCCACUCUUCCCCCCUCCUCUACCUUCCAUCCUCCACUCUUCCCCCCUCCUCUACCUUCCAUCCUCCACUCUUCCCCCCUCCUCUACCUUCCAUCCUCCACUCUUCCCCCCUCCUCUACCUUCCAUCCUCCACUCUUCCCCCCUCCUCUACCUUCCAUCCUCCACUCUUCCCCCCUCCUCUACCUUCCAUCCUCCACUCUUCCCCCCUCCUCUACCUUCCAUCCUCCACUCUUCCCCCCUCCUCUACCUUCCAUCCUCCACUCUUCCACCCUCCUCUACCUUCCAUCCUCCACUCUUCCACCCUCCUCUACCUUCCAUCCUCCACUCUUCCACCCUCCUCUACCUUCCAUCCUCCACUCUUCCACCCUCCUCUACCUUCGCCCCUCUGCCUUCCCCCUCCUCUACCCUCCACUCUUCCCCCCUCCUCUACCUUCCAUCCUCCACUCUUCCACCCUCCUCUACCUUCCCCCCUCCACUCUUCCACCCUCCUCUACCUUUCUCCACCCUCCUCCCCCUCCAGUAAGAUGAUGACCCAUGUAGCGUCCCGGUUCUCCUCUUCCUGUGUGUAGCGUCCCGGUUCUCCUCUUCCUGUGUGUAGCGUCCCGGUUCUCCUCUUCCUGUGUGUAGCGUCACGGUUCUCCUCUUCCUGUGUGUAGCGUCACGGUUCUCCUCUUCCUGUGUGUAGCGUCACGGUUCUCCUCUUCCUGUGUGUUCUACUGAAUGGACUACUUCAGAGACCAGCCCCUCCUCUACCCCCCAGGGUUUGACGGGCGGGUGAUUCUGUAUCCUAGCAACCGCAACCUCCGGGACUACCUCAGCUGGAGGCAGGCUGACUGUAUACACUCGCACUUAAAUACUCACAUUCUCCUAUCCCCCAAUACAUUAUUCUGUGUGUGUGUGUGUGUGUGUGUGUGUGUGUGUGUGUGUGUGUGUGUGUGUGUGUGUGUGUGUGUGCUUUGAAUACAGUAGAUUUUCUGCUCAUCUUUCAUAAUGGUGUGUGUGUUCGCCAGGUCAGUCAACAACCUGUAUAACACAGUGUUUUGGACGUUGGUGCAGAAAGGCGGACUCACCACUACACAGACAGAGGAACGACUAAAGCUGGAAGAAACAGUGACCACGCGUGUGAAGAUCCCCAACAAGGAGGAGGAGGAGCCAGUGGCACGAACCAGGAGGCGUGUCAGUGCCCACCGCUGUGACGUCAUAGGGGAGGAGUUCUGGGAGGAACACCCCAACAUUCUAGAAGACGACUGCUGAAAAGGUUUCCUAGAGGAGGAGAAACCUGCACAGUGGUUAACGUUGAACAUGGACAGAGUCUAGGGGGGGGUUGUACUUCUAUAUGCUCCUGCUGUGGGAUGGAGAGGGUUGGAAGCUGUCAGGGACUGUAUGGAUACUCUUAAUCACUAACUCUUGAUUGGAACAAACUGUCAGCGGUGGCAUAACUCAAACACCAUCAUGCUCUUUGCUCAUGUACUGUAUACAAAUAUUUUAAAUACGGCCUGUCUUAUGUCUGGAACCAUUAAACCAAGAGAAUGUGUAUUGUUGAUGAUGUUUUGCCGGUGGUGAUGCUGGCAUAUUAUAUCAUCAUAAUAAACGAGUAGGCUUACUGUUGGGUGUGUGGGCAUGUGCCAGUUAACCAGAGAGAGAUCUGCUUGUCACACUGAGAAGCAUGUCUGAUCAUAUGUCUCACUGAGAAGCAUGUCUGAUCAUAUGUCUCACUGAGAAGCAUGUCUGAUCACCUCUGGCUCCUGUCACCUCUCACUUGUCUCACUGAGAAGAAUGUCUGAUCAUGUCUCACUGAGAAGCAUGUCUGAUCAUGUCUCACUGAGAAGCAUGUCUAAUCAUAUGUCUCACUGAGAAGCAUGUCUGAUCAUAUGUCUCACUGAGAAGCCUGUCUGAUCAUAUGUCUCACUGAGAAGCAUGUCUGAUCAUAUGUCUCACUGAGAAGCCUGUCUGAUCAUAUGUCUCACUGAGAAGCAUGUCUGAUAAUAUGUCUCACUGAGAAGCAUGUCUGAUCAUAUGUCUCACUGAGAAGCAUGUCUGAUCAUAUGUCUCACUGAGAAGCCUGUCUGAUCAUAUGUCUCACUGAGAAGCAUGUCUGAUCAUAUGUCUCACUGAGAAGCAUGUCUGAUCAUAUGUUUCACUGAGAAGCAUGUCUGAUUAUAUGUUUCACUGAGAAGCCUGUCUGAUCAUAUGUCUCACUGAGAAGCCUGUCUGAUCAUAUGUCUCACUGAGAAGCAUGUCUGAUUAUAUGUUUCACUGAGAAGCAUGUCUGAUUAUAUGUCUCACUGAGAAGCAUGUCUGAUCAUAUGUCUCACUGAGAAGCAUGUCUAAUCAUAUGUCUCUCUGAGAAGCAUGUCUGAUCAUAUGUCUCACUGAGAAGCAUGUCUGAUCAUAUGUCUCACUGAGAAGCAUGUCUGAUCAUAUGUCUCACUGAGAAGCAUGUCUGAUCAUAUGUCUCACUGAGAAGCCUGUCUGAUCAUAUGUCUCACUGAGAAGCAUGUCUGAUCAUAUGUCUCACUGAGAAGCCUGUCUCAUCAUAUGUCUCACUGAGAAGCCUGUCUGAUCAUAUGUCUCACUGAGAAGCAUGUCUGAUUAUAUGUCUCACUGAGAAGCAUGUCUGAUUAUAUGUCUCACUGAGAAGCAUGUCUGAUUAUAUGUCUCACUGAGAAGCAUGUCUGAUUAUAUGUCUCACUGAGAAGCAUGUCUGAUCAUACUUAAUCUUCCUUGUGGGUGUGAACUGAAUUUCAAAUCUCACCAUUUCAAUUCACAAAGGACAAUUCUGUAGUCUUUGAAUAUGAAUGUUUCAGCCUGUGUUUCCAUGGUGUCCCAGCAGGUUUCAGUGUGUGUGCCUGCGUGCGGUGGCUUUUAACGGAAGCACAUAGAAAUCAAUAGCUGACCAAUAAAUGACUGGUGUUUCGGUGCCAGAGUUCCUUUUAGAAGAGCGAAGCACACUCUGGGCUGUGUGCCACUGCGCACUAGACACUUCUAAUAUUAUCACGCACUAGACACUUCUAAUAUUAUCAGACACUAGACACUUCUAAUAUUAUCACGCACUAGACACUUCUAAUAUUAUCA